AAUAAUCCUCGUAAUAAAUUAGGUUCCUGUACAUAAUUUAAAUUUUAUAUUGUGACGCUUGCUAAUUGAAGAGGACGAUGUAGAAGAAAUUUUGAAAUUGUUUACAUAUAUCCUAUUUAGUAUUUAAUUUGUAAUUUGAGGAUUAAUUUGGAUUUUAUAGAUAAUUUUUUUCUAGUUAAUUUUGAAAAGAAAGCAAAUCGACGCUAGAGGGAAGCACUGAAGGGAAGCAUGUUGAGGAAUGGAGUAAUGAGUUGUUCAUAAUGAGGAUGAAUUCUCAUAUUUCCUUCAGUCAUAUAAAAAAUUCAAGGAAAACUCGUCAUUUUUAAUGAUAUUGGAUAUGAAUGUAGUUUUAAUUUGUCACGUAAUAUUAAUAAUUUUAGUUAAAUUUUAAGAAAUUUUAAAAUUUUCUUGCUUUGUUUACAUCUCAGAAUGUAUGUUUUAAGCCACUUCGGGAUAAAUCUUUGUUGACUUUCAGCAGCAUGAAUUACUUAGCAGAUUAAAUUUAUUUUUAAAUGUUUUGUUUUUUUCCCCUUUCAAUUUUUUUUUGGUUGCCAUAAAAAGUUGAGCAGUGAUUUUAAAAUUAAAUAAUAAGUUAUCAGUGAGAUUAUGAUGUGGACAUUGUCAUUUGAUGUGUCAUCACCAAAAAUGUCAAGAGUCACCUAUUAGUGGGUGCAAACUCUGCUCCUUUGUCAUUGUCACUAGUUCUUUUCUUCCACUGUCAGUUUGAUAACUUUGGCGUUAGGAGUUGUCAUCCGUACUCUGGAGGUUCUCUCGCUUGCAUUGGAAAGGGCAAUCAAAACGUCUUGUCCGGCAAAGGUUCUCUGCAACCGCUUCUGCUCGGUCCUUGCAACAGCCGUCACGUGUCGCCGAGUUUAUUGACGUCUCGGAACACAGAUGCGGACGACAGCCACCACGUAGAGAACAAGGUGUACAAAAUGAGCAGAUUUGUCAGGCACGGUCACUGCCAGAAUGUUAGUAGCUGUGAUGAACAUGCAUCUCACACUUGUUAUUGAAGUGUCCAAACUUGAUUGGGUUUAUCAGUAUUGAUUCUAAAACUAUUGAUGAACGAGUAUUGCGGAUUCCUCAAAGUUAAUGACACGUGAUAUUGCAUUGCCUUUUAUUCCCGGAAUACUUUGGAGAGAUGAGAACCGUAUCUAUUUUCAAGAUGGGAUACACCAUUAAAUUAAUAAUUUCUGUCAAAUGUAAUAAUUAUGAAGGAAAGAAACAUUUCAAAAGAAUGUCAACAUGUAACAGUUUUUGAAUCAAUCUUUGAAUAAAUCAACAGUAGUUUGCAACAAAAUGGAACAUUUCCAUUCAAAGAAUAUAAUUUAUACAUACCACUUGUUUCAUAUUCAAAUUUUGUUAACAUGUUCUGUAUCCUUGCACAUCCAUUUUGUCAUUUUGUUCUUCAAAGUGAGAUUAUUUAUAAAACAAUAAAUGACAAAAAUGUCAUCUUUAUAAAAAUUGCUUAUUUGGUUGACAUAUAAUAAAAUAGCAUCAUCAAAUAUAUAAAAUAAAAUUACU
Molecule: long non-coding RNA, 1524 nt
Organism: Centruroides sculpturatus (bark scorpion)
Lineage: Eukaryota; Metazoa; Arthropoda; Arachnida; Scorpiones; Buthidae
Exons: 3
Source: RefSeq, a predicted model, not a curated record